GUUGUCGGAGUGUGCUGCGAUUGAAAAUGUCUGAGUUGUUGGAGAAAGCCAAGAACUUUGCGGCAGAGAAAGUGGGUCAUGCAAAGAAGCCAGAGGCAGAAGUCACAGAUGUUGAUUACAAGACGCUGAGCUUAGGAUCUGUUGAGUACCUUGCUAAAAUCUCUGUGACCAAUCCCUAUGGAGUUGACCUCCCCAUCUGUGAUAUCACUUACACCCUCAAGAGUGUUGGCAGGUUCCAAUUCUCACUUUUUAUUUUAACACUUUUGAGUUCAAUUUUUAUUUGUUUAUUUUUGUUAUAGAUACUCUUUUGAUCCAUGUGUUUUACUUGAAUUUUCUAAUUUGGUUUUUGUGUUUUCAAUUUCAUCAAUCUUGUCAUACGUUUUCAUUCUCAUAACGUGUACAUUUGGUGUUAGUUUUACUUUGUCGAAAGAGAUUUCGAGUUCGAACCAAUACACAAUAUUUGGAUAAAAAAACAAAAAAGAUUAGUUCUAUGCCAUGCUCAUGGAUAUAAAGUGACUUGAUUUGUAUGUGUACGUGUGAAUUUGUAGGGAGAUUACAUCUGGAACUGUUCCAGAUCCUGGUUCAAUAGAAGGAAAGGACAUUACUGUGCUUGAGGUACUAUUAAAGGUGCCACAUAACAUAUUGUUGACCUUGGCAAAAGAUAUUGGAGCAGAUUGGGACAUUGAUUAUGAGCUGGAUAUAGGCCUCACCAUUGACCUUCCUGUCUUUGGCAACUUCACCAUACCACUUAACAAGAAGGGAGCGAUCAAGCUUCCCAGCGUCUUCUGAUCCAUAUGACCUUUGGGAUUCUAUGGGUUUGGUUAUGUUCUGUAACUUUUCUUUUGUUGUUAAUUUAAGUACAUUAAGAUAUGGACUCUGUCUUUGCUCAGCACAGAGUGUUUUAAGUUUUUUUGGUUUUUUGUUUUCAGUUGGUUGUUAUCUUCCACCUCUAUCUAUAUGGGCAGAGGUUCGAAGUUGAGUAUUUGUGUUAAUCUUCCUUCCUCAAUAUUUUAUAAUAAAAAAAAUAUUUAAGUUUUUUAAAAAUAUUUUAUAUACCAGUGAUAUUGGAAGGGCUCUUAAUAAUUUAAUUAAAAAUAUAAUAAAAAUCCUAAUAAGUUUGAACAAAGCCAAAGUUGGGGAAUUACAAAGCAGGAACAAUAGCAAUGAGGGGAAGGGGGUGAUUAGGAGUAUAAGCCUUAUCAAAGUACUAUAUGCGUACUUUGAUAUUUAAAGUUAAUGUCGAUUAUACUUUUUUAAUGCUGAUAAUAGCUUCCUAAAUAUCAGUGUCUUCAUUAGCUAGAGUGGCCCUAAUCAGACAUUGUUAUAAAUCUAGAGAAAUUGGAGAGAAUUGAGAUAGAGAGAAACUGAUCUCUUAUUGAAUAUUUGUUCUUCACAUAUCUGUCUUACAAAGAGAAGGGGAAGGGGCUUAUUUAUAGGUAAGUAGAAGUGGGCUCCACCAUAUAUAUUUACAACAGACAUCUAUAUAUUAUUGUUUUUUAGGGACUAUCUAUGCUAGAAAGGAAAAAGUUCUAGCCUCCUCUCUCUCAAAAAAAAAAUAAAAAACUCUCUGAGUCCUUUUUAUUUUGAGGGGGAGGAAGUCAUUGUUCUUCCCCCCUUUCCGUUCUUCUUUUCUUCGCUUAUCUUCUUCUCCCAUUCUAAAAAACAGAAGGCUUCCACUAUUUGUCUUAUUUUAUUAUGAUUUUCCUUUAAUCAUUACAGACGGUUGAGUUACGGUGUUGGAUCUCUACUUGCGUUUCGCCGUUGGAUUUCCACCACCAUCCUUUUUGUGAUUUUUUUUAUAUAUUUGGAAUAAGUCGCAAAGACUCUUUGAGUUUUCUCUGUAGUUUUCACAUCUCCUUUUGUGAGAACUUUUCACCUUUCUUUUAUGAGAGCUUUUCAUAUCUUCUUUAUGAGAGUUUUAUUUGUAUUGUUAUGAUUUGAUUUUUUCAAGUUUUAUAUCUUUUUCAUUAUUCUGAGUUUGCAAUCUUAGUUGGAAUGCUUAUGCUAAAGUUUCUUCGAUCAUGCGUGAUCGUUAGUAGAGGCGCACAAAAUUGUCUUAAUUUUGAUGUUAAAUUGCUCUGUUAUUGUAAUGGCCCUUUGUGGCUAGUAGCUUUUUUGGUUAUUUAUGAAUGCAACCACAGAAUUUCUUAACUAAAAGAAAAAAGAAAAGGAAAAAGCUUGGCAGGGAGCCCAUCCUCCAAACAAAUAGAGUUUUGACACUUGGGAAAUUCCUUUUAUUUGUUUUGAAUUCCUUUUAACUUUAUUUCUUUCGAAAUUUUUUAAGUGUCAAAAUCUAAUUUAUUGUAAUGAUGUUUUCUUUCUCAAUUUUAAGGAGCCAAUCCAUGCUCUAGAAAAGAGCUGUAGUAAUUUAUGCUUUGAGAAGACACUGUAGGGGCUUUCGAAGGUGGAUAGAUUGGAUUUAGGGAAGCUGAGUUGCAGUGUGAUUUGGCAGUGGAAGCUGAGUUGGGAUUGGAAUUUGGACAAGAAGAAAGAGAAAGUUGCUGGAAGGACAACUUCGCCCUCAAUAUUGACAGAAAAAUGGAUGAUAUGUUUCAAAUUUGACAAUAGGGAGUAGAUUGACAAAAAAAAUUAGUUUGUAUCCUUAAUUGACUAAAAAAAGUUCAAAUUGGAAAAUCGAAAAUUACUUGAUAGUCCGGGACACAAUUCGGCAAUUUACUAAUGAAAUGAUUGCAUUACUAGCGUGUGUGAGGGUUUUGUAUAUAUGAUGGAUAUUCAAAUUAUUCAAUUAGGCCCCUUGUGACUUAUCCACUGCGACUAUAAAGGCACCCAAUUUUAUUUUUUUUGGUCGGAUAAAGGCACCGAAUUUGACGAUGAGAAUUGGACCCACCAUCCAGCCAAUUAAAUAGAACAUCACUCUCCACCGUCAGAUUGUCCAAAGUUAAAAAAAAGACCCAUCCCAUCUUAUCUCAACCCUUACUUUUAGUACAAACUUUCAUGUCAAGCAUCAUCAAUCCAUCACAGAUCUCUAAACACGGAGGAAACACGAGCGGACACGUAAGUGCCGACCUCCUGCCACGUGGCGCAAACCCAGUGCACCCGCUACCUCCUCUGUAUUUUACCCAAUAAAUCCAUUGAAGAUCCACCUCCUAUAAAUAGCUGCGAAAAUAUAAAUCUCAGCAACAAGGCUGCAAGUGCUAAAUCUAAUCUAGUGUUGAUCUCUUUGUUCGUAUUAAUAUUUUGUUGUUGGUGUGUGCGCUCUGAAAAUGUCUGAGUUGUUGGAAAAAGCCAAGAACUAUGUGGCUGAGAAAGUGGGUCAUGUGAAGAAGCCAGAGGCAGAAGUCACAGAUGUGGAUUUCAAGACGGUGAGCUUUGGAUCUGUUGAGUACCUUGCAAAAAUCUCUGUGACCAAUCCCUAUGGAGUUGACCUCCCCAUCUGUGAUAUCACUUACAACCUCAAAAGUGUUGGCAGGUUCCAAUUCUCACUUUCUAACACUUAGGGUUCAAUUUUUAUUUGUUUAUUUUUGUUAUAGAUGCUCAUUUGAUCCCUGUGUUUUGCUUGAAAUUUCUAAUUUGAUUUUUGUGUUUUCAAUUUCGUCAAUUUGGUCCCCUAUUUUCAUUUUCAUAAUGUGUAAGAAUCAAGAUUGUCAAACAUCGAAAUAGAUUACGGUCAAAUUAGGCAAAGGGAUCCUGAUUGUCAAAUUCAAAGCAUAGAGAACAGAAUAAAAAUUUGAACAGAACAUACGAUUGGUGUUGUGGUGUUGGUUUUACUUUGUUGGAAGAUAUCUCGAGUUCAAAUGCGAUCAAUACACAAUUUUUUGAUUUAAAAAAAAAAUAGAUUAGUUUCUAUGCCAUGAUCAUAUAUAUAAAGUGACUUGAUUUGUAUGUGUACAUGUGAAUUUGUAGGGAGAUUGUAUCUGGAACUGUACCAGAUCCUGGUUCCAUAGAAGGAAAGGACAUUACUGUGCUUGAGGUACUAUUAAAGGUGCCACAUAACAUAUUGUUGAC
Molecule: long non-coding RNA, 3966 nt
Filed under: Prunus persica (peach)
Lineage: Eukaryota; Viridiplantae; Streptophyta; Magnoliopsida; Rosales; Rosaceae
Description: long non-coding RNA (PPER_LNC002747)
Source: RNAcentral